This 399-nucleotide ribosomal RNA is filed under the name uncultured bacterium. Its description in RNAcentral is "bacterial SSU rRNA". It matches the Rfam family "Bacterial small subunit ribosomal RNA", at positions 28 to 429 of the family's 1533-position model. The record is from RNAcentral.
GACGAACGCUGGCGGCGUGCUUAACACAUGCAAGUCGAGCGGUAAGGCCCUUUCGGGGGGUACACGAGCGGCGAACGGGUGAGUAACACGUGGGUGACCUGCCCUCAGCUCUGGGGAUAAGCCUGGGAAACUGGGGUCUAAUACCGGAUAUGACUCCAUGACGCAUGUUGUGGGGUGGAAAGCCUUGUGCGGCUGAGGAUGGGCCCGCGGCCUAUCAGCUUGUUGGUGGGGUGAUGGCCUACCAAGGCGACGACGGGUAGCCGGCCUGAGAGGGCGACCGGCCACACUGGGACUGAGACACGGCCCAGACUCCUACGGGAGGCAGCAGUGGGGAAUCUUGCGCAAUGGGCGAAAGCCUGACGCAGCGACGCCGCGUGAGGGAUGACGGCCUGGUGUAAC